Molecule: ribosomal RNA, 207 nt
Filed under: uncultured Clostridium sp.
Lineage: Bacteria; Bacillati; Bacillota; Clostridia; Eubacteriales; Clostridiaceae
Description: partial 16S ribosomal RNA
Rfam family: Bacterial small subunit ribosomal RNA
Source: RNAcentral
AGCGUAGGCGGACUUUUAAGUGAGAUGUGAAAUACCCGGGCUCAACUUGGGUGCUUCAUUUCAAACUGGAAGUCUAGAGUGCAGGAGAGGAGAAUGGAAUUCCUAGUGUAGCGGUGAAAUGCGUAGAGAUUAGGAAGAACACCAGUGGCGAAGGCGAUUCUCUGGACUGUAACUGACGCUGAGGCUCGAAAGCGUGGGGAGCAAACA